AGUGAACGCUGGCGGCAGGCCUAACACAUGCAAGUCGAGCGGCAGCGCGUCCGACCACCCUCGGGUGGUCGGAUGGCGGCGAGCGGCGGACGGGUGAGGAAUGCAUCGGAAUCUGCCUCGUUGUGGGGGAUAACGUAGGGAAACUUACGCUAAUACCGCAUACGACCUACGGGUGAAAGUGGGGGACCUUCGGGCCUCACGCGAUGAGAUGAGCCGAUGCCGGAUUAGCUAGUUGGCGGGGUAAAGGGCCCACCAAGGCGACGAUCCGUAGCUGGUCUGAGAGGAUGAUCAGCCACACUGGAACUGAGACACGGUCCAGACUCCUACGGGAGGCAGCAGUGGGGGAAUAUUGGACAAUGGGGGGCAACCCUGAUCCAGCCAUGCCGCGUGUGUGAAGAAGGCCUCGGUGUAAG
This 413-nucleotide ribosomal RNA is filed under the name uncultured bacterium. RNAcentral's name for it is "bacterial SSU rRNA". It matches the Rfam family "Bacterial small subunit ribosomal RNA", at positions 30 to 429 of the family's 1533-position model. The record is from RNAcentral.